GAUAUUUGAGAAAGAUUAAUGAAGAAGAAAGUUCAGGAAUUGCUUGAGGAAUGUUGCGUAGUCAUUUUAGGAAUUAGAGCGAGUCGUCUGCACACCCGCCUUAUGGCAAGCGUGUCCAGAAUAGGCUAAUUUCGCUUUAGAGCAACGUUUUAAGUGAGAUUUCGAAUCCUUGGAAAAUUUAAAGAUUUUCUUUAUUUUUCCUUCGACCAGCGUUUCAUUUCGGAACUCUGGACUGUACGCACGAUAGUAUUCACUUUUCGGAAGUCCGACGACGCUAAUUUCCUUGCUUCGAAACCCUAGAUUCGAGCGAUGGAUGAAGACUUUUUCUAUUCGGGACUUCUAACGAAGUUUCCGUCCGCGUUGCCAGAUUUGUUUCGACAUUUCCAAUCUUUCUUCAGAAGGAAGUUUUGUCGUCUGAGCAUCACAGCAAAAAGUAGUUUAACGGGACAGAUUAACUUACACCGCCUUUGGGAUUUUAGAUAUCGUUUUUCCCAAACCAUAGAUAAUUGUUUUGAGUUCUGGAAUUCUGACGCCAGAAUCUCUCUUAGAAUUCCUCGGUGGACGUGCUGCAAAAAUCGGAAUCGCGAAAUUUUCAUUUUCCCGCGAUUUCACCUGCUUAUAAAUAGCUCGAAAAAGCAAAAUCUCUUCAUUCUCACCCAUUCAAGGCCGCGAGCAAGGAGAGAGGAGGAGAGGAGAAAUUUUCGCGAAAACUUGACCAAUCUUCGUGCAGUUCGUCCCUACUUCUAGGUAUUGAGGUUCGCAAUUUCCAUGCCCAACUUCUACUCACGAAGGCGAUGGAGAUCCUUCCGCCGAGGCAUAGCUACUCGAGUUGGAGAUCGAGUUGUAAGCGGUGGAGUAGAGGUAUGAGAAGCAGCUUUGCUUCUCUUCUUGUGGAUUAUGUUGGAGUCUCUUUUACUUUAUGAGAACUCUGUUAUUAAAGUCUUGCUUCCGCCACUGUUAAAGUGCGCAUGUUUAUUCUGAACCUUACUUAUGGUAUUGUAAACUAUUAUUACUGUAUAUCGGGAAACAAGUUAUCUAAAUAAAGUUAUGGUAUGUUUCCAACCUUUUAGCCGAAGUGUUUAGUUGUUUUACAGAAAAAAAUUCCCUUGGUUUUUAGGGAUUGCAGAUUGGUCCUUAGACUUUGUUAGGUUACUAAUGUGACUCCUCAGUUGAGAAAUUGGGGUGUUGCAAUUGUGGUAUCAGAGCUUUGGUCUAGAAAACCAGAGCUUUUGGGUAGAGUGCCUGCUUAAGAUGUUUGAACUCU
Molecule: long non-coding RNA, 1264 nt
Organism: Lotus japonicus
Lineage: Eukaryota; Viridiplantae; Streptophyta; Magnoliopsida; Fabales; Fabaceae
Exons: 3
Source: RefSeq, a predicted model, not a curated record